RNAcentral lists this ribosomal RNA (468 nucleotides) under uncultured bacterium. RNAcentral's name for it is "partial 16S ribosomal RNA". It matches the Rfam family "Bacterial small subunit ribosomal RNA", at positions 28 to 507 of the family's 1533-position model. The record is from RNAcentral.
GACGAACGCUGGCGGCGUGCUUAACACAUGCAAGUCGAACGGAAAGGCCCUGCUUUUGUGGGGUGCUCGAGUGGCGAACGGGUGAGUAACACGUGAGUAACCUGCCCUUGACUUUGAGAUAACGUCAGGAAACUGGGGAUAAUACCGGAUAGGAGCUCCUGCUGCAUGGUGGGGGUUGGAAAGUUUCGGCGGUUGGGGAUGGACUCGCGGCUUAUCAGCUUGUUGGUGGGGUAGUGGCUUACCAAGGCUUUGACGGGUAGCCGGCCUGAGAGGGUGACCGGCCACAUUGGGCCUGAGAGACGGCCCAGACUGCUACGGGAGGCAGUAGUGGGGAAUAUUGCACAAUGGGCGGAAGUCUGAUGCAGCAACGCCGCGGGCGGGAUGACGGCCUUCGGGUUGUAAACCGCUUUCGCCUGUGACGAAGCGUUAGUGACGGUAAUUGGUAAAGAAGCACCGGCUAACUACGUG